AUACAGAGGGUGCGAGCGUCAAUCGGAAUUACUGGGCGUAAAGCGCGCGUAGGCGGCUUAUUAAGUCAGAUGUGAAAUCCCCGGGCUCAACCUGGGAACUGCAUCUGAUACUGGUAAGCUAGAGUUUUGGAGAGGGAGGUAGAAUUUCAGGUGUAGCGGUGAAAUGCAUAGAGAUCUGAAGGAAUACCAGUGGCGAAGGCGACUUCCUGGCCAAAAACUGACGCUGAGGUGCGAAAGCGUGGGUAGCAAACGGGAUUAGAAACCCCAGUAGUCC
Molecule: ribosomal RNA, 274 nt
Filed under: uncultured bacterium
Lineage: Bacteria
Description: partial 16S ribosomal RNA
Rfam family: Bacterial small subunit ribosomal RNA
Source: RNAcentral